UAGGCAUGCCGUGCCUUUCAUUUGCGCCC
This 29-nucleotide non-coding RNA is filed under the name Rattus norvegicus (Norway rat). The record is from RNAcentral. Lineage: Eukaryota; Metazoa; Chordata; Mammalia; Rodentia; Muridae.